This is a long non-coding RNA of Gasterosteus aculeatus aculeatus (three-spined stickleback), 1285 nucleotides long. The record is from Ensembl. NCBI's taxonomy places the organism in Eukaryota, Metazoa, Chordata, Actinopteri, Perciformes, Gasterosteidae.
GGACACAAUUGUGCCAAACGGACGUAUGCACCAAACGGAGAAAUCCCCGCUGGUGCCCUGAGCAUGUCCUUGAACCGGCACGCUGAGCGCUGGCGGGGGCUGGACAUUCAGAUAUUGAUCAUUCUUAACUGCCUUCGUUUGUCCAGUUGAUCUCAAGCUCCAGAUGUGUGAGUGCCAACGGCGCAUGUUAAUAACAUUGUGCAUGUUUUCCGCUUUCAGUCCUCUCUUUCUGCAUGUGUUUCAUGCAUCUUUCUGCAUUUAAAUGUGCUUCUGUUGACGCUCUCAGAGGCCCAACACCUCCUCAUCCACAGCCGGCGUCCAAAUGGCUGCUGCUGUUUAGGAAUUGCCUCUUUAUUGACGAAUGGACGCGGCCGAGGAGCCGGAGAGAGACCAAGUCCGAGGGCCUCAGAGACGGACGCGCGUCGUAAAGUCAGACUGCGGAGCCAGAGGACGUCCUCCGCCGGGACCUCCGAGAGCGGCUGCGCGUCGCCGAAAUGGAGAUCUCACCGCGCCUCGAGGCCUUUUAAAUGUUGAAUACGUGCUGAAGAGGCUGAGAGGCUUUCUCGUUUGGAUCUCCGCAGCAACUCGGUCAGGUGUCUCUCAGUAUCAGUGAUACCUCUGGUCACUCAGGGGGGGGACAUGGAAUAUGUAUUUAAUUACAUGAAUUAACGGGACGCCUCAGCAGGAUGAAGAGGGAUCGGCCGCGGCGGUGGCUCAGUGGCUCAAUGGUAGUUUGAUGACAUCGGCGCCGCGAGAUAACGCACCUCCUGACGCCUCGGCGGUGAAACAGAAGGCCGCUUCGCCGCGCCUGGUCUGCGCGGGUCGGUCGGCGCUCUCGUUGGCGACGGUCCGGGUCCUCGUGGCGUCCGGUUGGACGACGGCCAGCUGGUGACAUCUGACACGAUGGAAGGCCGACGGCAACUCAAGAAAGAUGGAGAGCUCCAUGUGGCCUGAAGUCCACCUAGAUCUCACUGGAUGAACAGAACUUAUUCAGACAGCACUCACGGAGCAAAUACUGGAGGAUCGUAACGUAUCACCUGCAUCAGAAGAACUUCCAGCAUUGUUGGGAAAGGUCAGAAGAGGUCACCGGGGAGUAUUCACACUGAAAUAUCACAACAAAAAUGUCAGAUAAUAAAAAUGUUCUUCUCUACAAAUCUGGGCAAUUCCUCUCUGCAGUGAAGUGUUUUUACGUAUGACGUAUUUACAGUGCGCGAUUUUCUGGGAGAGUUUAUGGUGUAAAAUAAGUGUGUUGGUGUGUGUUUUGUGUGCAUGUUUAUACCUGCCG